Molecule: ribosomal RNA, 482 nt
Filed under: uncultured bacterium
Lineage: Bacteria
Description: bacterial SSU rRNA
Rfam family: Bacterial small subunit ribosomal RNA
Source: RNAcentral
UUGAACGCUGGCGGCAUGCUUUACACAUGCAAGUCGAACGGUAACAGGUCUUUCGGGAUGCUGACGAGUGGCGAACGGGUGAGUAAUGCGUCGGAACGUGCCCAGGAGUGGGGGAUAACGCAGCGAAAGCUGUGCUAAUACCGCAUAUAUUCUGAGGAAUAAAGAGGGGGACCUUCGGGCCUCUCGCUUUUGGAGCGGCCGACGUCUGAUUAGCUAGAUGGUGAGGUAAAGGCUCACCAUGGCGACGAUCAGUAGCUGGUCUGAGAGGAUGAUCAGCCACACUGGGACUGAGACACGGCCCAGACUCCUACGGGAGGCAGCAGUGGGGAAUUUUGGACAAUGGGGGCAACCCUGAUCCAGCAAUGCCGCGUGAGUGAAGAAGGCCUUCGGGUUGUAAAGCUCUUUUAUCUGGGAGCAAAGCGGUUGUGUUAAUACCACAACUGGAUGAGAGUACCAGAAGAAUAAGCACCGGCUAACUACGU